UACGGAGGAUGCAAGCGUUAUCCGGAUUUAUUGGGUUUAAAGGGUGCGCAGGCGGAUAGUUAAGUCAGCGGUGAAAUCUCACGGCUCAACCGUGGAACUGCCGUUGAUACUGGCUGUCUGGAGUACGGACGGCGCCGGCGGAAUGUGUCAUGUAGCGGUGAAAUGCUUAGAUAUGCCACAGAACACCGAUCGCGAAGGCAGCUGGUGAGGCCGGUACUGACGCUCAGGCACGAAAGCGUGGGGAUCAAAC
This 250-nucleotide ribosomal RNA is filed under the name uncultured prokaryote. RNAcentral's name for it is "partial 16S ribosomal RNA". It matches the Rfam family "Bacterial small subunit ribosomal RNA", at positions 524 to 773 of the family's 1533-position model. The record is from RNAcentral.